This 522-nucleotide ribosomal RNA is filed under the name uncultured beta proteobacterium. RNAcentral describes it as "SSU rRNA". It matches the Rfam family "Bacterial small subunit ribosomal RNA", at positions 9 to 526 of the family's 1533-position model. The record is from RNAcentral. Lineage: Bacteria; Pseudomonadati; Pseudomonadota; Betaproteobacteria.
GAGUUUGAUCCUGGCUCAGAUUGAACGCUGGCGGCAUGCCCUACACAUGCAAGUCGAACGGCAGCACGGGAGCAAUCCUGGUGGCGAGUGGCGAACGGGUGAGUAAUGUAUCGGAACGUACCUUUCAGUGGGGGAUAACGUAGCGAAAGUUACGCUAAUACCGCAUAUUCUGUGAGCAGGAAAGCAGGGGAUCGCAAGACCUUGCGCUGAUUGAGCGGCCGAUAUCAGAUUAGCUAGUUGGUGAGGUAAAGGCUCACCAAGGCGACGAUCUGUAGCGGGUCUGAGAGGAUGAUCCGCCACACUGGAACUGAGACACGGUCCAGACUCCUACGGGAGGCAGCAGUGGGGAAUUUUGGACAAUGGGGGCAACCCUGAUCCAGCCAUGCCGCGUGAGUGAAGAAGGCCUUCGGGUUGUAAAGCUCUUUCAGCCGGGAAGAAAACGCAUGGGUUAAUACCCUGUGAGGAUGACGGUACCGGAAUAAGAAGCACCGGCUAACUACGUGCCAGCAGCCGCGGUAAUAC